RNAcentral lists this ribosomal RNA (301 nucleotides) under uncultured bacterium. RNAcentral's name for it is "partial 16S ribosomal RNA". It matches the Rfam family "Bacterial small subunit ribosomal RNA", at positions 509 to 809 of the family's 1533-position model. The record is from RNAcentral.
CAGCAGCCACGGGAAUACGUAGGGUGCGAGCGUUAAUCGGAAUUACUGGGCGUAAAGCGUGCGCAGGCGGUUUUGUAAGACAGGCGUGAAAUCCCCGGGCUCAACCUGGGAAUGGCGCUUGUGACUGCAAAGCUAGAGUGCGGCAGAGGGGGAUGGAAUUCCGCGUGUAGCAGUGAAAUGCGUAGAUAUGCGGAGGAACACCGAUGGCGAAGGCAAUCCCCUGGGCCUGCACUGACGCUCAUGCACGAAAGCGUGGGGAGCAAACAGGAUUAGAUACCCGUGUAGUCCCUGUCUUCUUAUU